Amphiprion ocellaris (clown anemonefish) is the source of this 2309-nucleotide long non-coding RNA. RefSeq lists it as uncharacterized. Lineage: Eukaryota; Metazoa; Chordata; Actinopteri; Pomacentridae. The record is from RefSeq and is a predicted model, not a curated record. The transcript is spliced from 3 exons.
UCACCUGAUGAGUUAAACUCCCCUUUUUAUGUGAGGUUGAAGCAGAAAGUCUGAGUUAACAAAGAAAGUUGUUUAUAAUUUGCGAUACCUGUUAUCUCUGACUGAGGCUUUAGUUUUUGUUGAGCCAAUUUACACGUAGAAACUUUGUUCAGGAAGAUUUCUCAGUAGCUCAGAGGACAGGCUGCUUUUUACACAACCUUGUAAGAGAAUGUCUGCCAAUGCUUUCAGCAGAAUUUAGAAACACAACACUUCCUAAACAGAUAUUUUGAGGCUGUGAGGUUGAACGUUUGAGAGUAUAUCAGUGUGUGUGUUUGUGGUCUUUCUGUUUCUAGGUGGAAGCUGAAUUAGUGAGGAUGACUCCUGCUGCUGUCAUCUCUAAGCUCCUCACACAUCUUUACCUGCACAUGAGGAAAAUCACUCCUGUAGAAUGCAGAUGUUCAGAGGGAGAUGAUGCCACAUCUGGUCCAGCAGAUGGAAGGUCUUGAAGUUCUCUGACUGGCCUCGACUGAAGAUGGUCGUCUCACUGGAUUUAAGAUGCACAAUGAGGGACGUCUGCAGCAACUGAGAAAGAGUCUCACCACAUCCUGACAUGAGGAAAAAGACUUUAUUGAAGACUACAAUGAGAAAAACUAUCAGACAGCUGCAUUCAAGGUGAGAUCUGAACAUUUGAUCUGGAACAGGAAUUCAAUCACGGCAGCAUGAGCUUCAUUUCAGUCUGUAGCUGCUGAAUUCAUGGAUGAAUCAUCUGGCACUAGAGAGGAAGACCAUCAAACAUCCACGUCAGCUGAUGGAGGUCCAAGAGUCUCACCCAACAAACAACCUACAGAGUGAAGACCUUGAAUCUGAUUGGACGGCCUCCUAUUCAGCCACGUGUGAACAAAUGCCUCUAAGCUGAUUUGUUUUCUAAAAUAAAUCUAAUUUGAGUCCUAAUCUAUGCCUGUGUGUUUGCUUCUUUACACUGCUGUUAACAGUUUAGGCUGUUAGAUUGUUCCAGAUAAGACAAGUACAAGAUUCUUCAGAGCCGUUCUACCACGAGCCUGACAGGAAGAACUCCAACAGCUACUGAAUGUUCCUGUGGUUCCCUCAAGGCUACAGUAGGAGUCCUACGAGGACGAGCCAGUCCACCUGAUGGUGGCCAGUCGCUGCGGUUCAAAGCCAACACCAACUACAUGGACUUCUACUGGACCACACAGAGGCCUUCAAACCGGACCAACAAGUUCAGCGACUCCCCGACUCGUGGGUCUGAGGACGCCGCCGAGCCUCGGUCCAGCCGGCCACCUGUCUGUGGGUGUUUGAGUGCUGAGAGGUUUGUGGAUGGAUGUGAACGUGUCUGUGUUGAAACAGCAGCUUUGGACUCAGUAACGCUGGGAAAAACCAAGAGCUCCUUUAUUUGUGACUUCCACUAAAAAACUGAUGAAAAUAAGUUUGCCAGGGUUCUGACUGAUAACAGAUUAUUAAAUAAUGAAAAUAACAGCUCUUGGAGGUAGUCAUGACAGAAAUGAGCAAACUGAGAACUUGGUUUGACUUGAAUAAAUUAUCAUUAAAUAAAACUAAAUUUAUGCUGUUUGGAAAAAACAACAUCAAUACACAGGCAAAUGUAAUGAUAAACAAUGUUCACAUAGAAAGAGUGUAUGAGUAUAAAUUUUUGGGUGUUGUUCUAGAUCACAAAAUCUGCUGGAAACCCCAUAUUGAAUAUGUUAGAACAAAGGUAGCACGGAGUAUUGGUGUGAUGGGGAUGGCAAGGCACGUGUUGAAUGAGAGAGCUCUGUAUAUUUUGUAUAAUUCACUGGUGUUACCGUAUUUCAAUUAUUGUUUGGAAGUCUGGGGAAACACAUACAGGACCACCUUACAGCCCCUAACCAUAGUCCAGAAAAGAGCCAUACGGAUCAUUAGCAAUGUCGGUUAUUUUGACCAUACUAACACACUAUUUUCAAAAUUAAACACACUAAAAUUAAAAGACCUGGUUGACUUUAGAACGGCGAUGAUGAUGUAUAGAGCAAGAAACAAACUGCUACCUGUAAACCUACAGAGGUUGUUUCAGGACAGAGUAGAGGAAUAUCACUUCAGAGGGAUAUUGAAGUUUAAGCAGUGUUAUGCCAGGACCACUUUGACAAGUAUGUGCAUUUCGAUAUGUGGGGCUGUUUUGUGGAACAGUCUGGAUGAGGGAAUCAAACAAUGUAGGAACACAUACCAUUUGUACGUUUUAAAAAAAUGUACAAAAAAUAUAUCAUUGAAAAGUACAUAAAUGAGGAAAUAUGAUUUUUUUUUUCUUUUUCUCUCCACACUAAUUAAAGAAAAGAUGAAUGUCA